RNAcentral lists this ribosomal RNA (845 nucleotides) under uncultured bacterium. RNAcentral describes it as "SSU rRNA". It matches the Rfam family "Bacterial small subunit ribosomal RNA", at positions 524 to 1381 of the family's 1533-position model. The record is from RNAcentral.
UACGUAGGUCCCGAGCGUUAUCCGGAGUUACUGGGCGUAAAGAGUCCGUAGCCGGUGAUAUAAGUCUGCUUUCAAAGACCGAGGCUCAACUUCGGGAAGGGGGUGGAUACUGUAUAACUAGAGAAAGAUAGAGGUUAGUGGAAUUUCCAGUGGAGGGGUGAAAUCCGUUGAUAUUGGAAGGAACGCCGAAAGCGAAAGCAGCUAACUAUGUCUGUUCUGACGGUGAAGGACGAAAGUGUGGGUAGCAAACAGGAUUAGAUACCCUGGUAGUCCACACUGUAAACGAUGUCCGCUAGGUGUUCUGGAGAAAUCUGGAGUGCUGAAAGCUAACGCAUUAAGCGGACCGCCUGGGAAGUAUAGUCGCAAGACCGAAACUCAAAGGGAUAGGCGGGGGAACACACAAGCGGUGGAUUGCCUCGAUUAAUUGGAUAAUAAGCCAAGAAUCUUACCUAGGAUUGACAUCCUUGGAACCUUUCUGAAAGGAAAGGGUGCUCAGCUUGCUGAGAGCCAAGAGACAGGCGCUGCAUGGCCGUCGUCAGCUCGUGCCGCAAGGUGUCCGGUUAAGUCCGGGAACGAGCGCAACCCUUACCCCUAGUUAGAAUGUCUAGGGGGACUGCCGGUGCAAACCGGAGGAAGGAGAGGAUGACGUCAGGUCACUAUGGCCCUUAUACCUAGGGCGUCAGAGGCAAUACAAUGGGUAGUACAAUGAGAAGCGAUAUAGUGAUAUGGAGCGAAUCUCGAAAGCUAUCCUAAGUUCGGAUUGUAGUCUGGAACUCGACUACAUGAAGUUGGAAUCGCUAGUAAUGGUAGAUCAGCCAUGCUACCGUGAAUAUGUCCCUGUUCCU